AACGAACGCUGGCGGCGCGCCUAAUACAUGCAAGUCGAACGAGAAGCUGUAGCAAUACAGUUGUACAGUGGCGAACGGGUGAGGAAUACAUGGGUGACCUACCCUCGAGUGGGGAAUAACCAGCCGAAAGGUUGGCUAAUACCGCGUACGCUUCCCAGUCUACGGGUUGGGAAGGAAAGCGAUGCCGUGGGUAUCGCGCUCAAGGUUGGGCUCAUGUCCUAUCAGCUUGNGGUGGGGUAACGGCUCACCAAGGCAACGACGGGUAGCUGGUCUGAGAGGACGAUCAGCCACACUGGCACUGCGACACGGGCCAGACUCCUACGGGAGGCAGCAGUAAGGAAUAUUGCGCAAUGGGCGAAAGCCUGACGCAGCGACGCCGCGUGGGGGAGUGAAGGUCUUCGGAUUGUAAACCCCUUUCGGGAGGGAAGAUGGAACGAGCAAUCGUUCGGACGGUACCUCCAGAAGCAGCCACGG
Molecule: ribosomal RNA, 474 nt
Filed under: uncultured bacterium
Lineage: Bacteria
Description: bacterial SSU rRNA
Rfam family: Bacterial small subunit ribosomal RNA
Source: RNAcentral